This 386-nucleotide ribosomal RNA is filed under the name uncultured eukaryote. Its description in RNAcentral is "partial 18S ribosomal RNA". It matches the Rfam family "Eukaryotic small subunit ribosomal RNA", at positions 592 to 976 of the family's 1831-position model. The record is from RNAcentral.
CAAUAGCGUAUAUUAAAGUUGUUGCAGUUAAAAAGCUCGUAGUUGGAUUUCUGGAUCGAACGCUUCGUCCGCCGCUGUGCGGUGUGUACUGAGGUUUUGUUUCGAUUCAUCCUUGCAGGGAAGCGAGUUCGAGAUUAAUUUGUCGGCUCGGGGAACUGCAUCUUUUACUGUGAAAAAAUUAGAGUGUUUAAAGCAGGCAUUUUGCUGUGAAUACAUUAGCAUGGAAUAAUAACAUAGGACUUUGGUUCUAUUUUGUUGGUUGGAGGCCAAGGUGAUGAUUAAUAGGGACAGUUGGGGGUAUUCAUAUUUAAUUGUCAGAGGUGAAAUUCUUGGAUUUAUGAAAGAUGAACUCAUGCGAAAGCAUUUACCAAGGAUGUUUUCAUUAA